UACGAGGGGUGCAAGCGUUGCUCGGAAUUAUUGGGCGUAAAGGGUAGGUAGGUGGUCUGAUUUGUCAGGGGUGAAAGCCUUGGGCUUAACUCAAGAAGUGCCCCUGAAACGGUCAGACUGGAGUCUUGGAGAGGGUCGUGGAAUUCCCGGUGUAGCGGUGAAAUGCGUAGAGAUCGGGAGGAACACCAGAGGCGAAGGCGGCGACCUGGACAAGCACUGACACUCAACUACGAAAGCGUGGGGAGCAAACAGG
RNAcentral lists this ribosomal RNA (253 nucleotides) under uncultured bacterium. Its description in RNAcentral is "partial 16S ribosomal RNA". It matches the Rfam family "Bacterial small subunit ribosomal RNA", at positions 524 to 776 of the family's 1533-position model. The record is from RNAcentral.